CGCAGUCGGUGCCGCAGCGUUCGCUGCGGGUAAAAGGGAAACAGGUGAAACGCCUGUGCGAACUCGUCACCGUAUGCGGAUCGGCACUGUCACGCGAAAGCAGCCACUGAGCGAUCGGGAAGGCGACAGCGCCAUAUGCCGCAAGCCGGGAAACCUGCCGCCUGU
This 165-nucleotide non-coding RNA is filed under the name bovine gut metagenome. The record is from RNAcentral.